This is an RNA transcript of Diorhabda sublineata, 3227 nucleotides long. It is a transcript of the gene named RNA-binding protein 1, with no coding region annotated. The record is from RefSeq and is a predicted model, not a curated record. The transcript has 5 exons. Lineage: Eukaryota; Metazoa; Arthropoda; Insecta; Coleoptera; Chrysomelidae.
UGGAAUGUAAAGUCACCAUUUUGAAAGAAGCUUAGCGGACCGUCCUGUAAGUCAUAUUUGAUUACCAAGCUUGUGAGCGUCAUUUUGUAGCUCAUAUCAAAAAUUGUUUUGUUUUUUCGUAAGCCUACUUAUUAAAUUUAACAAAAUAUCCAAAAACAGAAAGAAUAUGGCAAGGUAUAGGGAGUGGGAUCUUUCGUGUAAGGUUUAUGUCGGUAAUUUGGGUUCAUCAGCUAGUAAACAUGAAAUUGAAAGUGCGUUUGGUAAAUACGGUCCAUUAAGGAACGUUUGGGUUGCCAGGAAUCCUCCCGGCUUUGCGUUUGUGGAAUUUGAAGAUCCCCGAGAUGCAGAAGACGCAGUUCGAGGUUUAGAUGGAACUCGUUGCUGUGGUACUAGAGUAAGAGUUGAAAUGUCUAAUGGUCGUUCUAGAAGAGGUGGCGGAGGAGGAAGAAGAGGACCUUCUCGUUAUUCCAGGCCUUCAGCCCCACUGCUGUUAUCCUUCCUCCAACCGCGGACCAUCGGUCCGUUACACAUCUUCACCUCACAUCGACUAAACAUCCAUCCACCUUGAUCCUCGGGAGCUGAUCACAGAUUGUCAUCAAUCUUCUAAUGAAAAAUUAUUUUUCUUCAAUAUCAAUUCAACUACUGGUGUACAACUUUAAUCUCGACGUCGACAUCCGACAACAUACCACCACAGCAUCUUUAAUUUUUUCACCUCUCAGCACAAAUACAAGUGGGAAAGAUAAUUUUUUUUGCUCAGUAUUUGCGUAAAUAACGUUUUUUCUAGAUUUUCGAUUGAAUUGGGUAAUAAUUUGAAAUUUCAAACUAAUUUCAAGAAUCUAAUGUAAUAAAUAUAUUUUUUUACAUAUAUAAUUAUUACUAUCGAUAAGGUCGAGUUUAUUUAAGUAUUUCUGCAAAUUUGACUCAUUACAAUCGUUCUUUAGAGAAAACAAUUUUCUUAUUGUGUGUAACUAAAAAAUGAUGUUAAUCCCCAAUUGAUUCUUACAAUGAGUUGUGUUUAUUUAAUUGGAUAGUUCAGGAAAGAAAAAACAAAGUUUGAAAGUUUUUAAGAAUUCAAUUGAGGUUAAGUCUUGAAAAAAAUAUCUUUUUUAAUUCAAACAAUCAUUUUUUUCUUCUAUUAACGUUUUUUGUUAUAUGAAGAAUUAAGAAAUGAAAAUUCAACAUCCUAUAAAAUCCAUGUUUAGAGGUUACUUAAUAACUCUUGCUUUCUAAUCCCAGAGCUAUCUCCAGUAUAUGCCCUAGCUCCAACUAGGUUUGAAGCAUUGUUUUUGAUUGCUUACAAUGACUAGAUAUUCUAGACCCAGGUACCCGGUUCAGUUUCUGCUAUAACUAAUCUCAUUGCAUUGCCGAUGAGGGUGUGUAGCUUGUUUUUGUUUUGAUAUAAAUGUUAUGAAGGUUCUGAAAGAAGUUUUUUGGAGCAAUCCAUCCCAGGAAAGCACCCCCAGUUUGUUUUUCCCUCGUUGAAGUUUUUUUGUUAACCACUAGGCCCCUGAGUCCUUUUUUUUUUAGUUCAAUUCUACUAUUCAUUUUCUUUGGUUCCAGAUACCCAAAAUAAAGUCUACUAUUUUUGCAUAUUUCAUUAAGUUUUUUUAUUCUUAUCCUAGCUUUCAGUUGAUGACAUGGGAACUUGUGCAUCGAAAGCUACUCGAUUGUCAUAAUUUUUUAUAGUCCAUGUAUGGAGCCUCAGAUGUCAGUUUGUUAAUAUAGCUGCUAUUGACCACAAAUUACUUUCUAUUCAUUUAUUAGUUUAUCUGUUAUGUCUUUAACUCAUUUUGAUCAAUUUUCUGGAAAAUUUGGAUUAUUUUUUGUUUUUUUUUUAUUAUAAAUAAACUUGCAGGACAAAAAAUGAAAGCUUGAUUAAAUAGGCAAACAAAUUUGGUUUCUGUUUUCUCUUGAUUCACCUUCAUAUAUAUUUAAAUUGGAUUUACUUCUGCUUUUUUCAAAAAUAUUUUCAGAUUUAACCUUUUUUUUUUUUAGUUACAAAAGUUACAUCCCGUAAUCUACAACAAAUAAUGAAAUUCAUUUUAAAAGAGUUAAAAAAAAAGUUACUCCUUUCAUCUCAGUGUAAUAUAUUUUCUAGCAAAUAUUUUUUCACUUAUAUAAAAUUAAAAAAAAAACUCAUCAAUCAAAAUAUAGAAUUUUUUAAUUAUACAAGGACGAAAAACAAAUUAAUUAUGAAGUAUAUUACUGUAUAUUUAUACUGAUCACACUGUAUAAUACUGAAAGUUACACUAUCUGGUCCUUCGAGCCGGCUAUAGAAGGUUCCAAGGAUCAGAUGGUAUAAUUGGAUUAGUGUACUGGUAAUAUACAGUGUGUUCAGUAUAAUUAUCACCAAUGAUUGCAGAAAUUCCAACUUAACACCAUAUGACGUCAUAAUUAGUUAAUAUACUGUAGUAUUUAGGGAAAUUUCAAGUUUUCUCUAUCUGGAACAUCAUAGAUGUUGGUACAUACUAUAAUGUAUCGAUGUUUCAUGUUUCGGGUAGGAAAAAAAUUAGUACUCUUCGCUUUUUGUAUCACAAUUUUAUCUACCAGGUUACUUAAAAGUCCGAUUGAUGUCAUUUUAUUAGUUACACAUAUUGUUUUUCCUACUUUUAUGUCAGCAAAUUGCAGCUCCAACAAAUUAAUAUAAAAAUAAUGGAUUUUGCCACAACGUUGACAUUGGUUUGUACAUUUCUGACAACAAGGCAACGAGACCUACCUAAUUGUCUAUUGCAACCCCUUCAAGUGAGUUAAACACCCGGUAGAAAAUUAAUCCCAUAAGAAAGAUCACUUGUCGAGUGAUGUUUCCAACACUUUGAAAUUCAAAGCAUCAAGGAAAACAUUACCGAAUGUGUCGAGAUCUCCGAGACGAUCCAGAAGCCCCAGAUCCAGAUCUAGAAGCCGAGAUUCGAGAGGAAGAUCAGAUUCUCGAGACAGACGCUAAAAUUUUCGAAUUUUAAGUUUUUACCGAAUAUUUGUGGAAAAAGUAUACAAUAGUAUUUUAAUUUUUACAUUUUUUUUAAGUAAACCUUUCUACUUAAUUUCAUCUUUAUGUAUUUUCACUUUAUAUUAGUCUACAAUCGUAACGAUGGUAAAUAUACAUAUAUAUGAAGCCGUAAUUUAAUUUUUUUUAUUGGUAUUUUGUAUCUAAGUUAGGUGCAAACUUAUGUAUGACAGUGUAUUUAAUAUUAUAUGUGCGUGGAUAAAUAAAAGGCAGUUUAAGAUCUAAU